Molecule: long non-coding RNA, 519 nt
Organism: Chiroxiphia lanceolata (lance-tailed manakin)
Lineage: Eukaryota; Metazoa; Chordata; Aves; Passeriformes; Pipridae
Exons: 2
Source: RefSeq, a predicted model, not a curated record
CUUCAGUCAGCAUGUUUCCCUUCCUGCUGUGGGAAAUAAUUAAGACGGUUUUAUUACAAGCAGGGGCUACCUUGUGCCGGGGCACCUGGGGGCCAUUUUGUUUAAAGGACUGGGGAGCCAUUUUGUGGUUGGGGACUGGUGGACUGCUUGUGGUUCUGCUUGAAGUUGCUUAUUGCUGCUGUCUACCUGCUACACAUAGUUCUGCUUGAGUGCGAAGGCAAGCCAGUAAGAAUAUAAGGUGGUGAGACCAGCCUGGGCUCACUGCCAGGGAACCAUGCAGCCCGCGGCAGGGAAACAACCUGAUAGGUGGAUGAGGACAACCAAUGGACUGCACCAGAAGGCAAAGAUCACCUUUUAAAGAAGAAAAGAGAGAGGCCUGGCAUGGGAGGAGCGAGGGAGUGGUUAUGCAAAUCGAAGGGUUUUAAAAGGGCUCAUCCCUCCCAUUUGGGGUGUGCUCGAACCAGGUCCUGAGUUAGGUCCACCCAGCACACUGUUAAUAAAGUUCUUUGUUUCACUCUA